UAAUAAAUAAUUUUAUAUUAAGUUUUCCCGAAUUUAGAAGAGUAAAAAGUUUAUAUAUUUUAUUGUUGCAUAAAUAUUUAUAAUAAAUUUUUUGUAAUGAGAUGUUAGUCGUUUCUAGAGUUAUCUGGUUUUUUAAGAAACAAAUUUAAUUUGUUUGGAUUUAUUGAUUAUUUUAUUAGUUAAUAUAAUUUUUUUUCUUUUUAAUUUAUUAGGGGAUAAGCUUUAAUUUAAAUGGUAAAAAGAUUGAAUGUAAUUAUGAUUUUAUAGGAUUAGAAGUUUCUUUUAUUAGGAGUGUGUUAUUACAGGAUUUAUAUUUAAUAUUAUUUUUAUAUUUUUUAGUUUUAUAUUAAAAUGUUUAAUUUAGUUUUGAAAUUAGUGAUAUUAUGAUUAAAUUAGUAUAAUUUAAUGUGUUUUUAGGUUAGUUCGUGGAUUUAGAAAAAUGAAUUUGGCAAUUAUUUUUUCGCCUGUUUAUUAAAAACAUGGCUUUUUGAAAAUUAUUUAAGGUCGGACCUGCCCACUGAGUUAUUAAAGGGCCGCGGUAUUAUGACCGUGCAAAGGUAGCAUAAUCAUUAGUUUCCUGAUUAGGAAUUGGAAUGAAUGGUUUGACGAGAAAAAUACUUUUUCUUUUUGAAUGAUUAUAAUUUUAUUUUUAAGUUAAAAAGCUUAAAUUUUGUUAAGGGACGAGAAGACCCUAUAGAGUUUUAUAUUUUUAAUUUGUUUGUUAGUUUAGUUUAUUUUUAUAUUAAUUGUUAAAUUUAUUUGGCUGGGGUGAUUGGAAAAUUUAAUUAACUUUUCUUUUUGUUUAACAUUUAUGUAUGGGUACAUGAUCCGUGGUUUGCGAUUAUAAGAUUAAAUUACCUUAGGGAUAACAGCGUAAUUAUUUAUGAGAGUUCAUAUCGAAUAAAUGGUUUGCGACCUCGAUGUUGGAUUAAAAUUUGCUGUUGGCGAAGAAGUUAUAGGGCUGGGUCUGUUCGACCUAUAAAAUUUU
RNAcentral lists this ribosomal RNA (988 nucleotides) under Diphyllostoma fimbriata. RNAcentral describes it as "partial 16S ribosomal RNA". The stretch from base 865 to 988 matches the Rfam family "Archaeal large subunit ribosomal RNA", at positions 2544 to 2668 of the family's 2987-position model. The record is from RNAcentral. Lineage: Eukaryota; Metazoa; Arthropoda; Insecta; Coleoptera; Diphyllostomatidae.